CUCCAACGGCCUAAUUCCAACUCUGCUGUCGCUCCAGGGAGGCUGUACAAACCCCAGAGAAUAAAGGCCAAGUUUUCUUCAAGGUUACAAAAGGACUGUGGCUUCUGUCUCACUUGUGCGCUGUGAGGGAAGUCAGGCGCCAUGUUGGGAACUGGCCCAUGGAGAAGACCACCGGCCAUGGCAAGGGACUGAGGGAGGCCCUGGUCACCUGCCAGCAAGGGAUGAGACCCUCAGCCCAACAGCCCUCAAGGACCCGUGUCCUGCCAACAAGCAAGUGAGCCGCUUAGAAGCAGAUUCGACCCCAGUGAGCUCUGAGAUGAUCAUAGCUCAGAUUCAUCUUUGGAAGGCCCUUGGCACAGCUGCCCAGUCAGAACUGUGUUGCCUAUAAGCACAGCACAGUCUUCAGGCCCCGCAGGCACACAA
Long non-coding RNA from Neogale vison (American mink), 423 nucleotides. RefSeq lists it as uncharacterized. The record is from RefSeq and is a predicted model, not a curated record. The transcript is spliced from 3 exons. Lineage: Eukaryota; Metazoa; Chordata; Mammalia; Carnivora; Mustelidae.